Molecule: small nucleolar RNA, 204 nt
Organism: Haliotis rubra (blacklip abalone)
Lineage: Eukaryota; Metazoa; Mollusca; Gastropoda; Lepetellida; Haliotidae
Product: small nucleolar RNA SNORA53
Exons: 1
Source: RefSeq, a predicted model, not a curated record
UGCACGCUCCUUAGAUCCACUCUCGGGGCAGUGUGCUACAUGCUCGUGUGUAGUGUCUGACCCAGCAACCUUGUGUUGUACAGUCGAGAGUGCUUGAGUCAUUGGUGUGCUAGAUCAGUAUACCUGACAUGGCAGACUUUGGAUCUGGACUAGGCAGACUCUCAUGUCUGUUUGUGCCAUGAUUUGGCUGUCACUUCGGACAAU